This 556-nucleotide ribosomal RNA is filed under the name uncultured Acinetobacter sp. Its description in RNAcentral is "bacterial SSU rRNA". It matches the Rfam family "Bacterial small subunit ribosomal RNA", at positions 369 to 917 of the family's 1533-position model. Lineage: Bacteria; Pseudomonadati; Pseudomonadota; Gammaproteobacteria; Moraxellales; Moraxellaceae. The record is from RNAcentral.
CGAUCUGCGCGAGCCUGAUCAGCCAUGCCGCGUGUGUGAAGAAGGCCUUUUGGUUGUAAAGCACUUUAAGCGAGGAGGAGGAGCUUCAGGUUAAUACCCUGGAUGCUUGGACGUUACUCGCAGAAUAAGCACCGGCUAACUCUGUGCCAGCAGCCGCGGUAAUACAGAGGGUGCAAGCGUUAAUCGGAUUUACUGGGCGUAAAGCGUGCGUAGGCGGCUAAUUAAGUCAAAUGUGAAAUCCCCGAGCUUAACUUGGGAAUUGCAUUCGAUACUGGUUAGCUAGAGUAUGGGAGAGGAUGGUAGAAUUCCAGGUGUAGCGGUGAAAUGCGUAGAGAUCUGGAGGAAUACCGAUGGCGAAGGCAGCCAUCUGGCCUAAUACUGACGCUGAGGUACGAAAGCAUGGGGAGCAAACAGGAUUAGAUACCCUGGUAGUCCAUGCCGUAAACGAUGUCUACUAGCCGUUGGGGUCUUUGAGACCUUAGUGGCGCAGCUAACGCGAUAAGUAGACCGCCUGGGGAGUACGGUCGCAAGACUAAAACUCAAUAAAAUUUGCCGG